This 707-nucleotide ribosomal RNA is filed under the name Prolinoborus sp. RNAcentral describes it as "bacterial SSU rRNA". It matches the Rfam family "Bacterial small subunit ribosomal RNA", at positions 709 to 1415 of the family's 1533-position model. Lineage: Bacteria; Pseudomonadati; Pseudomonadota; Betaproteobacteria; Neisseriales; Neisseriaceae. The record is from RNAcentral.
CCGAUGGCGAAGGCAGCCAUCUGGCCUAAUACUGACACUGAGGUGCGAAAGCAUGGGGAGCAAACAGGAUUAGAUACCUUGGUAGUCCAUGCCGUAAACGAUGUCUACUAGCCGUUGGGGCCUUUGUGGCUUUAGUGGCGCAGCUAACGCGAUAAGUAGACCGCCUGGGGAGUACGGUCGCAAGACUAAAACUCAAAUGAAUUGACGGGGGCCCGCACAAGCGGUGGAGCAUGUGGUUUAAUUCGAUGCAACGCGAAGAACCUAACCUGUUCUUGACAUAGUAAGAACUUUCCAGAGAUGGAUUGGUGCCUUCGGGAACUUACAUACAGGUGCUGCAUGGCUCUCGUCAGCUCGUGUCAUGAGAUGUUGGGUUAAGUCCCGCAACGAGCGCAACCCUUUUCCUUAUUUGCCAUCGGGUUAAGCCGGGAACUUUAAGGAUACUGCCAGUGACAAACGGGAGGAAGGCGGGGAUGACGUCAAGUCAUCAUGGCCCUUACGACCAGGGCUACACACGUGCUACAAUGGUCGGUACAAAGGGUUGCUACCUCGCGAGAGGAUGCUAAUCUCAAAAAGCCGAUUGUAGUCCGGAUUGGAGUCUGCAACUCGACUCCAUGAAGUCGGAAUCGCUAGUAAUCGCGGAUCAGAAUGCCGCGGUGAAUACGUUGGCGGGCCUUGUACACACCGCCCGUCACACCAUGGGAGUUCGU